RNAcentral lists this ribosomal RNA (799 nucleotides) under uncultured bacterium. RNAcentral's name for it is "bacterial SSU rRNA". It matches the Rfam family "Bacterial small subunit ribosomal RNA", at positions 9 to 785 of the family's 1533-position model. The record is from RNAcentral.
GAGUUUGAUCCUGGCUCAGGACGAACGCUGGCGGCAUGCCUAAUACAUGCAAGUCGAACGCACGAAGUAGAAAAGCUUGCUUUUCGACCAAGUGAGUGGCGGACGGGUGAGUAACACGUGGGUAACCUGCCCAUAAGAGGGGGAUAACAUUCGGAAACGGAUGCUAAUACCGCAUAUUUCAAGUGACCGCAUGGUCGCUUGAUGAAAGGUGGCUUCGGCUACCACUUAUGGAUGGACCCGCGGUGCAUUAGUUAGUUGGUGAGGUAAUGGCUCACCAAGACCAUGAUGCAUAGCCGACCUGAGAGGGUGAUCGGCCACACUGGGACUGAGACACGGCCCAGACUCCUACGGGAGGCAGCAGUAGGGAAUCUUCCGCAAUGGACGAAAGUCUGACGGAGCAAUGCCGCGUGAGUGAAGAAGGUUUUCGGAUCGUAAAACUCUGUUGUUAGAGAAGAACAAGGAUGAGAGUAACUGCUCAUCCCCUGACGGUAUCUAACCAGAAAGCCACGGCUAACUACGUGCCAGCAGCCGCGGUAAUACGUAGGUGGCAAGCGUUGUCCGGAUUUAUUGGGCGUAAAGCGAGCGCAGGCGGUUCUUUAAGUCUGAUGUGAAAGCCCCCGGCUCAACCGGGGAGGGUCAUUGGAAACUGGAGAACUUGAGUGCAGAAGAGGAGAGUGGAAUUCCAUGUGUAGCGGUGAAAUGCGUAGAUAUAUGGAGGAACACCAGUGUCGAAGGCGACUCUCUGGUCUGUAACUGACGCUGAGGCUCGAAAGCGUGGGGAGCAAACAGGAUUAGAUAC